This 1023-nucleotide long non-coding RNA is filed under the name Numida meleagris (helmeted guineafowl). RNAcentral describes it as "lncRNA (ENSNMEG00000019321.1)". The record is from RNAcentral. Lineage: Eukaryota; Metazoa; Chordata; Aves; Galliformes; Numididae.
AAUUAUUCUGUAUUAAUGAUAUUUGACUAUUCAUAGCAAAAAUCUAUUUUUCUCUCCUUUUCUGGAUAGACAAAGAUUACCUUUCAACUAGUUAUACGGCUGGCUAAUUCCAGUCUCUGUAUGCAGUGCAUCAGUCUUGUCAGGGGUGUAUCUGUUACCUUCUGGGGUUCCUGGAACCCCAUUGUCAUUGUAUCUCUAUGGAGAGAUGUCAGGAGCUCUCCUGGGGGCAGCUCCCUGUCCCAUUAGACCACCUCCAGUGCAGGACUGCUGAAAGCUGAGGUGCUGCUACAUGGUGUGACAGGGAGCUGAAGCCAGCCAGCAGCUGUCACCUCCACAUGUCACCCCACAACUUCUCCUCUUCCAGGAGACCACCUCAGAAGCAGGGCUACUCCACCGCCUGCCAGGACACACAGCACACCUGGAUGUCUCACCCCAAGAACAUUCCCAUGUGGUAGGUGAUACAUGUAGGAAGCAGCCAAGCUGGAGACAGACACCACAAGAACAGCACAGUUAUCUGAGGGGCCAAGCAGCACCUUGAAACAGAGUGAACAGACAGCAUCAAAAGGAGUGACUACCAGAAUGCUGGGUUUUCAGAAGUAAACCCAAGGACACAGCAAAAUGAAGACUUGAGAGGAGAAAAACGUUGGACAAUUGUCUUAAUGUUUCAACCACCAGAAAACCAGCUGAGAAGCAAAUGAAGUUGGAGAGUCCUGGAAGCUGCAUGACUGAUCUAUCAAGACUUCCACUGUACUUGAAAGGUCCAUGGGUCACAACUGCAGGAAGUCACAUUUUGAGACCCAGCUAUGAAGCUAUUCGAAUGGCCUGAAGAUAUAUCCCACAUCAAAUGGCUGACCUCCUGCACUCCAAUGCUGCAGAUCACGCCAGACUGCUGUAUUGCACAAUUCUGCAGUAGCUGUGGUUUCCAAAGAAAACAUUCCAGGAGACUGCAUCACACUGGUUAAUAUAGCAAAAAAGAGUGUGCUUUUUCUUAUUCCUGAAAUUUAAUGAAUAAAACAAGGUAAU